Non-coding RNA from Aegilops tauschii subsp. strangulata, 3382 nucleotides. The record is from RefSeq and is a predicted model, not a curated record. NCBI's taxonomy places the organism in Eukaryota, Viridiplantae, Streptophyta, Magnoliopsida, Poales, Poaceae.
GAAAAUUGGUUGCCAUUAGGGCGGAGCUCAUUUGGGAGUUGGGGACUGGGUCGUAGAGAGAAGGAGCGCCAGCGGCGAGGCACCAUGGAGUUCCUGCUGCAGCCGAUGCGCGGAUCCACUUUCCCUGGAGGAGGUCGCAGAGAGCUUGGUGCCGCCCCCUCUGCCGGCAGCGGCGACGGGAGGCGAUAUGGUGGCGGAGCAGGAGGUGGUGGAGCAGGAACGGGCGGUGGACAGCGCUGAAGCUCAGAUCUUGGUGGCCAGGGUAGCGACAGCCGCGGACAGGAGAGAGCUCACCCCCAACGUCGAAGUUGUCAACUGGGAAGAUGAAUCCCCGGGCGCCUGGAUGGAAUAAGAGGUUUGUGGUGGAUUUGAGCUUGCAGUCAUUAAUUUAGGGCUGCAAAAGAAAGAACUUUUGAGGAGUGGAAAAUUCCCGCCAUUAGUAGGUGUUUGCAGUAACUUAGUGUUGGAUUUAUACUCGCAGUCAGUAAAACUAGGUAUGUACAUGAAAGUUACGAUGAGUGGAGUAGAACAACUAGUGAGUUGGCUCCGCUUGCAGGCCGAGGAUAGUGCUGCUGCACCAAGCAGAACACCGUGCCCAAACCAUGGGCAAAGCCGCGUGCUGCGAAACAUGUGCAAAUGCGGUUACGGGCAUCAAAUAUCUUGUCAGCAAACUAAAACAUCUCAAGCUGGAUGUGCUCGCGUGCAGUUGCAAGGUGCGAGAAGCAACGAGCAUUUAUUUCCUUGAGUAGGACUAUCAUCUCAUCGCUCGACUGGAACAUGAAAUGGGAGUUUGCAGUGAUACAGGGCGUACGAGUGAGUCCACAACCAAAAUUAAUGCUUUAGAAAAUGUGUACAAAAAGUUGAGGCACAAGAUAAUUUGCCAGGUGGGGAUACUGCCUCCAUAAAUAAUUGGUGAAAUUCAUCGGCCCUAGAAGACUUAUGGUCAUCGGAAUCAGUUCAUCAAUCAAAUGGUGUGCAGAUGUAGGGCUGGGAACAUCCCUCUGAGAUGUCCUGGCUGUGCUACCACCACAUGACGAAGCUGGCUAGAACGGAGGUUUUGCCGUGUUCCUUGACGCUAACUGCUCCACUGCGGAGUGCUUGGAAUGGGCGUAACACAUGGUGGAGAUGUGGCGUAACUACACGAUGUGGGUAGUUCUAGGAGAAUCAGAAAUAACAUUUAAAAAGAAGCAGCACAUCCGUGAGGGAUGGCUAGCACUUACCGGUGCGCCGGCAUAAGAUGGGGUCGUCUUGCCAACAUCUGUAGCCAUGGUUAUCAUUCUCUGGAUUGAGUCUUGGUCAAACACAUUUACCCUCGGCAACACAGAAUAUUGCUUGUUGAACAUCCCAAGGUCGAGAUUGUCCAGCAGGAAUAUCCGUGAGUGCUAUAAAUCGUUAGCCACAAGAAAUAGCAGGUAACUAAUGUCAUGAAUUUGGGGAUUUGGUGUCUGAUUUUUGCUGCACAUUUUUUUUUGUUUUCCUGCUCUGCUAGUUCUUAGUUCAAUUCCAUAAACAUAAAGAGGAUGUCUCGUCAGUCAUCACAGUGUGGAUUCCUUUUGUACUUGUUGAUUGUAUUCUUUGGAGUCCAAAUCAGUUUCUGUGGUUGUUACUAGCGCUCUUGUUUGUUUGAUAUAAUAACAUAGGCCUUAUUUGUGCUAGAAAGUAUCCUUUGCAACAAUGGGUUUGAAAUUAUUUAGGAUGAAGUAUCAGAUAAUGAGAAAAAUCUAAGCUACAUUGUUCAUGAGCGGUCAAAUAAAAAAACACAUGGUAUUCUUUGGCAUGACUUAGUGCUGCUCAACAAAAAAAAAAUCUCAGCAGAAAAACUGGAACCACAUUCUCAGUCAGCAUUAUCCGCGCUUAAGAAGAAUUCUUGGAGAUGGCAGUUGUUUCUACAGAGCAUUCUUUUCUCCUAGUACUUGGUAACUAUCUCAGUUACUUGUUUUUGAUGAUGCCACUUUUCUAUUUUGCACAGAAGUUUAAUACCUCGAGGCUUUAAACAGGAAAACCUUGGAUUAAUGCAAGAUGGUCAUGCUGAAGUUACUCGUCAGUCGUCUAAUGGAACAUGUGGCUAUGUCCAGAGAGAAUUUCUAUCGUCUGAAAUGGGAUAAAGCAUACUUCUUAACUCCUGAAGAAUACUUUUCAAGUGUUGUUUAUGUACGUAUUCUCUCAGCUUACAGAAGCUUUUAAUUCUUUUUAUGAUCUGUAACCCCUAUUUUGUUGUUAUAAUACUUUAGCCAUUUACAAACAAACGAACUAUGCAUGAAAAAUAGUACUAGCUCUGUAAACUAACAUAAGACGUUUCAGAUUACUACUUUAGUGAUCUCAAAUGUCUUAAUUAGUUUACAGAGGAAGUACUUGCCUAUGACUUGAUGCCCCUUAAAAUAACUUGAUGUCCCUUAUGUGUCCUGAAUUGUCCAAUGCCCUCACUGAGGCUGAAUUAUUUGACCUCAAGCUGCAUCAUCAGAAAAUAUCUUUGAUAAAGAACAACACCCCACAAUGCUUUUCAUUUAAACUUCUUAUGAGUUUGACCCCGUUGGCCUUCCCACCAAAGUUUGGAGAAGUACAAAAUAUAUGGACUGAGAGGAGAGGGGAAAACCUAUUUGAGCACUCAGGGAGUUAACAUGUAAAUUUAGGUGAGGGCUUUGUAUUUUUUGUAUUGCUUAUUAUCUAGCAUCUAAAUAAGGUUGAACUUAAGGAUACGUAUGAACUUUAGGUGAGGGCUUUGUAUUUUUUGUAUGAAAAAGUUCUUAUAAGUUUGAUGGUUUUUGGCACAUGUAGCAUAACGAUGAGUUUGGUCAUAGCUGUGAUCACAUAAUUUGUUCAAUAUCAUGGGUUUCAUGUUUGUAAAGAAUCUGAGAGUACAGUGAACUGUUCUGAUGUCACACAUUGAUCCUAUUUUUGGUUGCCACCCUUACAUGAGAAAUUCAGUCUAGGACAUUGAAUUUUGUUGGCAAACAAUUGCACAUGCCCAAGAUAGAGAUGAGGCUCAAUCUUUAUGUUGUUAUCAACUUCAGGGGGGUGGUUCCUGUCGGCAACAGGGACACAACAGGACAACCUGCCUGGAUCAUGGAGAUGUUCCGAAACAGCCUCGAAUACCUGCUCGGUGCAAGAACUGUAGUGUCAUGGGUCACUGACGAAGCAACUGUACGAAGGCCGCAUAACUAAGACUCCAAAACGACUGCUGAAAGAGCAUUCUAGGCGAUGAUGAGUGCACUGAUUAGAGGGUUGCAUCAAUUUAGUGACGAAACAUUAAGAAGCAAUUCAUAUCUGUUUGUCUGUGUGUUGUAGUUUUCACAUUAUUGUUUUCUGCCGGUGCUAGAAUAAGGACCAUUGUAUUUCUAUGUGUUGUUUCUUGUUAAUAGUAGAUUCAUGGUGUUGUGUGUUU